AUCCUGGUUAGAAGAUACAAAGACAAACACUCAUACGGACUUUGGCUACACCAUCAAAGCUUUGAGAAGCAAGAAGAAGCUUGGUUAGUGUUUUGGAGUCGCAUAUGACUUGAUGUCAUGUUUAUGAGUGAGUAUAAAAACUAGAACCGCAACGGAUCUUAAAAGCCUAGCUAUUGUAUCCUUGUUAGAAGAUACAUAGACAAAGACUCAUACGGAAUUCGGCUAUACCAUCAAAGCUUUUAGAAGCAAGAAGAAGCUUGGUUAGUGUUUUGGAGUGAAAUAUGACUAGAUGUCAUGUGUAUGAGUGAGUAUACCAACUAGAACCACAAUUGGAAUUUUAAAAGCCUAAGUAUUGUAUCCUUGUUAGAAGAUACAAAGACAAACACUCAUACGGACUUUGGCUACACCAUCAAAGCUUUGAGAAGCAAGAAGAAGCUUGGUUAGUGUUUUGGAGUCGAAUAUGACUUGAUGUGAUGUUUAUGAUUGAGUAUAAGAAAC
This 498-nucleotide small RNA is filed under the name Arabidopsis thaliana (thale cress). RNAcentral's name for it is "ATSL269060". The record is from RNAcentral. Lineage: Eukaryota; Viridiplantae; Streptophyta; Magnoliopsida; Brassicales; Brassicaceae.